This 253-nucleotide ribosomal RNA is filed under the name uncultured bacterium. Its description in RNAcentral is "partial 16S ribosomal RNA". It matches the Rfam family "Bacterial small subunit ribosomal RNA", at positions 524 to 776 of the family's 1533-position model. The record is from RNAcentral.
UACGAAGGGGGCUAGCGUUGUUCGGAAUCACUGGGCAUAAAGGGCGCGUAGGCGGCGAUUCAAGUCAGGGGUGAAAUCCGGCAGCUCAACUGUCGAAGUGCCUUUGAUACUGAAUUGCUCGAGGGAGGUAGGGGUCUGUGGAACUUCUGGUGGAGCGGUGAAAUGCGUUGAUAUCAGAAGGAACGCCGGUGGCGAAAGCGACGGACUGGACCUUUUCUGACGCUGAGGCGCGAAAGCUAGGGGAGCAAACGGG